Molecule: ribosomal RNA, 232 nt
Filed under: uncultured bacterium
Lineage: Bacteria
Description: partial 16S ribosomal RNA
Rfam family: Bacterial small subunit ribosomal RNA
Source: RNAcentral
CGGACGGGUGAGUAAUGUCUGGGAAACUGCCCGAUGGAGGGGGAUAACUACUGGAAACGGUAGCUAAUACCGCAUAACGUCGCAAGACCAAAGAGGGGGACCUUAGGGCCUCUUGCCAUCGGAUGUGCCCAGAUGGGAUUAGCUAGUAGGUGGGGUAAUGGCUCACCUAGGCGACGAUCCCUAGCUGGUCUGAGAGGAUGGCCAGCCACACUGGAACUGAGACACGGUCCAG